Molecule: ribosomal RNA, 484 nt
Filed under: uncultured bacterium
Lineage: Bacteria
Description: partial 16S ribosomal RNA
Rfam family: Bacterial small subunit ribosomal RNA
Source: RNAcentral
AGUGAACGCUGGCGGCAGGCCUAACACAUGCAAGUCGAGCGGCAGCGCGGGGGCAACCCUGGCGGCGAGCGGCGGACGGGUGAGGAAUUCGUCGGAAUCUGCCUUUUUGUGGGGGAUAACGUAGGGAAACUUACGCUAAUACCGCAUACGUCCUACGGGAGAAAGUGGGGGACCGCAAGGCCUCUCGCAGAAAGAUGAGCCGACGACCGAUUAGCUAGUUGGUGGGGUAAAGGCCCACCAAGGCGACGAUCGGUAGCUGGUCUGAGAGGAUGAUCAGCCACACUGGGACUGAGACACGGCCCAGACUCCUACGGGAGGCAGCAGUGGGGAAUAUUGGACAAAGGGCGCAAGCCUGAUCCAGCCAUGCCGCGUGUGUGAAGAAGGCCUUCGGGUUGUAAAGCACUUUUGUCCGGAAGGAAAUCCCUGGAGCUAAUACCUUCGGGGGAUGACGGUACCGGAAGAAUAAGCACCGGCUAACUUCGUG